Non-coding RNA from Oncorhynchus gorbuscha (pink salmon), 487 nucleotides. Lineage: Eukaryota; Metazoa; Chordata; Actinopteri; Salmoniformes; Salmonidae. The record is from the annotation of a RefSeq genome assembly.
AAAACAUUUGCAGAUUCAUUUUGUUUGGAGUUUUCAGCUUCUGUUGUGCUAUUAGUCAGUUUGACUUCCAACCCCAGCCAUGUUGUUCAUCUGGUCAUUUAUUACAUUCUCAGUAAUAGGUGGAAGUUAUGAGCAGACUAUAGAGCCAAACCAGCAUGAAGUGUAUGCAGAAGUGGGUAGUAAUGUUCUUCUUUCCUGCAACUACUCCUCAGCAGACAGUCUACUAUGGUAUAAACAGUCUCCAGGAUCAGCUCCCCAAUAUCUUCUGCUCAUCCCACACUACACUGGGACUGUAAAGAGAGCUGAUUCUCUUGACUCUCGCUUCUCUGGUAAACUGAACAAAGAGAGGACCCGUCGUGUGGAUCUGGAGAUCUCCUCUGCUGAAGUGACAGACUCUGCUCUGUACUACUGUGCUCUGAGGCCCACAGUGAUAGGAGACCUGUCAACACCGUUCAAAAACUGCUAUCUAUUCAAGAGGAGGAGCUAA